RNAcentral lists this ribosomal RNA (417 nucleotides) under uncultured bacterium. RNAcentral's name for it is "bacterial SSU rRNA". It matches the Rfam family "Bacterial small subunit ribosomal RNA", at positions 362 to 776 of the family's 1533-position model. The record is from RNAcentral.
UAUUGGUCAAUGGGCGCAAGCCUGAACCAGCCAUCCCGCGUGCAGGAAGAAGGCGCUAUGCGUUGUAAACUGCUUUUCCAGGGGGCGAACCUCCCGCACGAGUGCGGGACUGACGGUACCUUGGGAAUAAGCAUCGGCUAACUCCGUGCCAGCAGCCGCGGUAAUACGGAGGAUGCGAGCGUUAUCCGGAUUUAUUGGGUUUAAAGGGUGCGUAGGCGGAUUAAUAAGUCAGUGGUGAAAACCUGCAGCUUAACUGUGGAACUGCCGUUGAUACUGUUAGUCUUGAGUAUGGUCAAGGUAGGCGGAAUGUGUAAUGUAGCGGUGAAAUGCUUAGAUAUUACACAGAACACCGAUUGCGAAGGCAGCUUACUGGGCCGUUACUGACGCUGAUGCACGAAAGCGUGGGGAUCGAACAGG